AGGCUUUUUGCUAAGCCAGGCAAACAGUUUCCCCCUGCCUCCAGUCUUUAUGCAAAGCUAAGCUAAAUGUUUGCUGGUGGUAUCCUUAUUAUGCAUGGGCAGAUAUGAGAGUGGAAUU
This is a long non-coding RNA of Etheostoma spectabile (orangethroat darter), 118 nucleotides long. RefSeq lists it as uncharacterized. NCBI's taxonomy places the organism in Eukaryota, Metazoa, Chordata, Actinopteri, Perciformes, Percidae. The record is from RefSeq and is a predicted model, not a curated record. The transcript has 3 exons.